Molecule: long non-coding RNA, 2277 nt
Organism: Gallus gallus (chicken)
Lineage: Eukaryota; Metazoa; Chordata; Aves; Galliformes; Phasianidae
Exons: 3
Source: RefSeq, a predicted model, not a curated record
UCUAUCUGGACUCCAGUAAGGCCUUUGACACAGUACUCCACAACAUCUGUUCAAAGGAUGAGGAACUGGCUGCAGGACUAAGUCCAGAGGGUGGUGGUGAAUGGCUCAGUGUUUAGAUGGAGAUCAGUGACAAGUGAUGUUCCCCAGAGAAACAUAAAAGAAACUGAGAGCAAUAAAAUCAGAACCCGUGGCAUCCCUGGAAUGCAGGUAUACGCUCUGUUUCACCAAAAAGUCUUAAAGCACUGCGCAAUAAGCAGGAAACUGGGUGGAGACUGAACCCAACAACUAAAUAGGGGCUGCUAAAGCUUCAAGAAAACGAAAGCCUAUCAAGAUCACAAAAUGCUCUCACAUAGCUAGGUCCCAAAGGACUAGGGGAACAUUGGAGUAUUUCAGCAGUGUUCAUUCUGAUUUGAAAACAAAUUGGUCUGCCUCGCUUUCCUCCCCUUUUGUGGUUUUUUUUUUUCUUUUUUUGUGCAAUUAUUCUAGCUAAUGAGUUUACUGGCAGAAAUGUUCACAGAAACAGCAAGUUUUAGCAGCCAUUGGAGAUUAUUUGUGAAGAGUGAAUUUAAAAUUCUUAAUCAUAAGCAUUCACUGCAUAAAUGUGCUUCAAAGGCCUAGGCCCAUCCCAUCAGGGACUAGCACUACUCUAGGUAACCAGUGUGUGCAAUCAGAGCUCAUCAGUCAGAUCUGAUUUCAAAUAGUCACAAUAAAUAGAUCAUGGACAAGCUGUAAGUCAGAAAUUAUUCAUGGAAAUUAUUUGACAAAUGAUUUUGAAUGCUGAAUUAUUCAAGAAGAUCACACAAUGUUCACAGACAAUUCCCAGAGAGAAGGAAGGGUAACAUUUGUUUUGUAAGUCUGUGAUAGAUUCUUCAUCCAAAACUGCUCAAAACACCCUGGUGAAUAAAGUUAGCGUCAGUCUCAUACUGGCUAUCUAAAACAUGAACAUUUGAAGGGCCUCUUUUCAGAAGAAGAUGCUGAUUUGUGGGUUCUGUCUUUGCAAUUAGCCAAGCAAACACCCUCCAGCAGUGUUUCCAGGAGAAAGACGAACAUGGGUCUUCGUAGGGCACAAGCUGGAGCUAACAGCAGCAGUAUCUCUGCAAACAAUUCACAGCAUUGAACAACUUUCCAGUGACCCAGAAUCACUUCUACUAUUUGGACAUAGAGACUAUUUUUACAAGGCUGGAAAGGUUAUUCUGCUCACUGCCCAGUCACAUUGUGCCCACAUGUUACCAUUCCUUCUGAGAGAGCAAAGAAAGACCCAGCUUCCCUACACACCAUUUCACUAUUAAUAUGCAUGCACUUCUUUGGCUGCUGUUCUUCCUAAGCAGCACUAUGUUUUUGUUUUUGGGAAAAAAAAAAUAAUUAAAAAAAACCCUGCCCAGCUAAUACAGUGGAGCACUCAUGGAAGCAGACUCCAUGUAAGGAUAUGGGUUUAAACACCCCUACUGGCUGUCAAGAAUGCUAUAUCAAAUGAGUUACAUGUGAUGAUCACUGCCAUUUUAUGUCUAUUGUCACGUUACUUCCAAAAGGUAUCAUCAUGCUUAGCAUCUCACUGUGACUUGUACCAUCAUCUUCAAACAUCACCCACCCAGAGCCUGCCUCUGCACCUGAAGACUUGGGUAUAGCACUGAGAAAAGUGCAGGGUUCAAAAAACAGGUUGUGAAAAUACAGGGGGGAAAAAAAAGAACAAGAACUGCUUGUUUAGUCUAGGAAAACCUGAGGUAUGACAUGAUAACAGUCUCUCAUUAUGUAAAAUGUAGCAAAGACGAUGGUGAUCAAUUGUUCUCUGUGUCUGCUGAGGAUAGAACAGGAGGUAAUUAAUUUAAUUUGCAACAGAACAGAAUUAGAUAAGAUAUUCAAAAGAAAUUUCUAUCUGCAAGAAUAAGAACCAGAAGUUCACUACCUCGGGCUGUUAUACAAUCUCUCUGCCAGGAGAUUUUUUUUUAAAGGUUAGAAAAACUUCUGUCAGAAAUGGCCCAAGCAGCUUAAUGCCCCUGGAGCUACAGGACGGACUAGAAAACUUAUGGAGAGCACAGCGCUCUCCUGAUUUCAGCUCUGCUCUCAUGAAAGUUUCAACCAUCCACGAGACCCACAAGUACCCCAAACUGUGCCCUCCCUGAAACAUAGGCAGUACUCCAGGGGGAAUUUCCAGAUGCAAUGCAAUGGGUCACCUUGCCACCUAAGAAGCAGCGCCUACCGCAGAAUUUGAAAAUGAAUUAUAUUUCUCUACAGGAUACUUUACAUUUUGCAUGAUUCGAAAUAAAAGGACAUUUUACA